Molecule: long non-coding RNA, 691 nt
Filed under: Mytilus galloprovincialis (Mediterranean mussel)
Lineage: Eukaryota; Metazoa; Mollusca; Bivalvia; Mytilida; Mytilidae
Source: RNAcentral
UGGCAAGUCGUAACUAAGGAGUACGCCGCCUUCUUGACUUUCUAAAAACCAUAAAUGUCCGAUAAAUAAAACGGAAUUUUAAAUGAAAUAGCACCUACCUCAAAAACUUCAUUUUAAUUAAAUGUUAUCCGAAUUUGAAUCGUACACGUAACGAAAUAAUCUUUCCCUUGAAAAUCUCCAUUCGUAUGACGUCGUGUUUUGCCAUGACGUAAAUUCGCCAAAUCCUUCAUGAAAUUUCGCGGAAUUUUAUUAAAUCUUAUUUUUAUACAUUUUCGAAGCUUUAGUGCUUUAAUUUUAUUUCUUUUUUUGUUACAUAUUAUGCACUAGAAUAGUCACAACUGUUAUGCAAUUGUUUUUAAAUCUCAAUUUGCUGAAAAUCCCGGGAUCACUGCAAGCUUGUGUAUCGCGCAUGAAUAGAUUACAAAAGUAGUUUCGGAAACAUGGUUUAUCGAAGUGUAAACUUAGAGAAAAAUUCUAAUUGACCAAUCCAAUUCAAGUAUUUAUAGAUAUGCAAAUCAUAUAAGAAUUAUUUAUUAUUAUAUUAUUAGUUGAUUGAACUUUUGAUUUGUUUUGACAUGAUGUCUUCUAAAUUGUGUGGCAGUUAAAUUUUUGGGAAUGACUGCAUCUUAAAGAAGUGUUAUAAAUACGUCAAGAUUUAUUACAAGAAACGGCGGUCUUUUCAGUAUGUCUU